UUAACUGCGUCGGUCGCGUCCUCCUCCCCACCAAUCGCGCAUCCUCCUACCCACCAAUCCCCCAUCCUCAUCCAGCCCACCAAUCCCCGCCUCCUCCUCCCCACCAACCCUAGCCAUGCCCUCGCCGCCACCUUUCCUUCCCCGUUCAUCCUCUCCAGCAGCCGGCGCCACUUCUGUCUCUCCUCCUUUCUCCUUGUCACCAUCAUCGCGAGUGCCCACCCGUUGGAUCAGGUGGUCAGUGCGGGAUGCAAUAGCGCAUCUGGACGGAGGAGAACGCGACGAUUGCAUCUCCUGGCAACGGCAGGGAGGACGGAUGGAUGAGGAGGCGACAGCUCGAGAGUUUUUAUGGUGGGUGUGAAGGAUCUUGGGAAGGUGAGGAGGACAGAGGUGGGGGAAGGACUGUGAGUCCGGAGAAUCCAGGCUGCACAUAUAAAUCCUCUCCAUCUUCCUCUCCCUUUUGAUUCCCCCAGUUCUCCAGUAAUCUGAUUUUGAUUUCUUAUUUUUUUCCUAAGCACGAUGUGUGCAGAUCUGAGAAAGAAUAGAAGAGGAAGAAUACCAAGGAAGAGUUUGGUGAAGAACAAUAAGGUGACAAUGUGAGUUGCAUUGACAGAAUCCAUGUAUUAAGCUGAGGCAUUUUUGGCAGCUGCAGCAACCUGACAAUUAAUUUGUUCUCAUCCAAGGUAAUUUACUUCCCCCCUUUAUGUAUCAUGGAUGGAUAUAUGUGCUGGUUGGUUGUCAUUACUGAAGCUAGAAUUGUUGAUGAUGACUACCUUUGAGCAGGUUUACCGCUUGUCUUGCUAAUGUGAAUUUGUAUGUUUUCAUUUGUUUUUUCUUCUCCAUUUUUUUGUAUAAUCUAUGGACGUUGUAGGAUAAAUGUGAAUUAACAAUACAAGAACUUCCAGAAAGUAUUUUGCAACUUCAGAAAUCCAAAAUUAUGGUUCUGGUGUUAAUGAUCAGGAUGAUGCGAUAGCCUCUUUUGAUCCGUAUCUACUUUUUUCGAAGCUUGAAAGAUAUACUUGCAGCACUUGACUGAAAUGAUCUAACUUGUGUUUCCCUUUUUUCUUUUCAUUUCCAGAAUGCUUUGCUGCUAGCAUAACUGUGAUCCAUUUUUUACUCUACUUUUUCUUAAUCUAUAUACAUGAUUGCCAAUUUCCAACUUCUUAGUUACAGAAAAUAAAACAAAAUUCAGUUUAGAUGUGUCUGUUGUAGGCAUUAAAAGUUUCAUCAGAGCCCUCAUUCUGAACAUUGUUUAAAAUGACACCCUAUUGCCCUUGGUGCAUAUAUAGAUAUUACUUUUUACUUUUUAGUAGAAUAUGGAGCUCUUAUUUGUCGUAUAGUUUCUUUUUUCGUCUGUGCAGUUGUACAUCUUUGCUGCCCCUUUCCUUGGUGCUGACUGAGCUUUGCAUGUUUAUAUUUAUAUUUUCCUGCAUUCUCCCGGUGACCUUUUAUUUUGACAUAUCAAUGAAUUAUGCAUCUCACUCCUUCGGAAGCUAAUCUUUACAUUGACACUGCUAUUUGUCUUGAAAUCCAAAAUUAUGGUUCUGGUGUUAAUGAUCAGGAUGAUGCGAUAGCCUCUUUUGAUCCGUAUCUACUUUUUUCGAAGCUUGAAAGAUAUACUUGCAGCACUUGACUGAAAUGAUCUAACUUGUGUUUCCCUUUUUUCUUUUCAUUUCCAGAAUGCUUUGCUGCUAGCAUAACUGUGAUCCAUUUUUUACUCUACUUUUCCUUAAUCUAUAUACAUGAUUGCCAAUUUCCAACUUCUUAGUUACAGAAAAUAAAACAAAAUUCAGUUUAGAUGUGUCUGCUGUAGGCAUUAAAAGUUUCAUCAGAGCCCUCAUUCUGAACAUUGUUUAAAAUGACACCCUAUUGCCCUUGGUGCAUAUAUAGAUAUUACUUUUUACUUUUUAGUAGAAUAUGGAGCUCUUAUUUGUCGUAUAGUUUCUUUUUUCGUCUGUGCAGUUGUACAUCUUUGCUGCCCCUUUCCUUGGUGCUGACUGAGCUUUGCAUGUUUAUAUUUAUAUUUUCCUGCAUUCUCCCGGUGACCUUUUAUUUUGACAUAUCAAUGAAUUAUGCAUCUCACUCCUUCGGAAGCUAAUCUUUACAUUGACACUGCUAUUUGUCUUGAUCUUAUUUGUACCAUGGAGGAGAAUAACUCUUUAGACCCUACUGUAUGAUUGGUCUCACCUUAUUCCUUUUAGAUGGAUGCUAUGGUCUUCCCUGCAGAUGCUGGCCAGUUAAGGUUUGUUGCAAAUAAUAGUGGAUGUUGGGCUGCCUCCACACCGCAAGAGAUGGAGAUGGUUGACGUCGGAACCGGUGGUUGAGGUCGAGUACGCCUCGUUGUCGUCGCCGUCUACAUCCGUUACGUGUGAGGAACUUGCUGUUUCUGGCACCAGAUUCAGCAAGGAGGAUAUCUAUGAGGCCUUUCAUUCUUGUGGGAUUCCCACACAUCUUGCAAGUUCAAGGGGGUGAGCUCAGCUGAAUGCGCGGCGACGUACUGUACCUUUGCAAGCCGAGUAUCUUGCUCUAAUUUGUUGACAGGGUAAGAGAGGGCUCAAGAAAGAGACAAGAACUUGUGCUUCAAGCAGCGAAUAUAGCCAGCCUAGAUGAUUCAAAACAAGAACAAGUGUCGGGAAGUUACAGAUGAGGAAGUGCAGCUGGCUACUAUGUGCAUGUCAGGGACAGAAGUUGCUAGAGAAAGCUCCGACAUUAUAAUCUUAGAUGAUGACUUCGCAUCUGUUGUGAAGGGCAAAUCUUCACUGAAUCUUGGAGAGUGAUGGAAGAUAAUGGGCCCAAGCUUUUAGGAACGCCAAGGAUCCAAUUUCAAGCUUUGGCCUCUUCCACAAAUUCGCCGUUCAAUCAGGAGCCACCUAGGUGAUCAUUGCAUAGGUCUACUGGAAAUUGGUCCUAGAGGAGCUCUCCAUGAAGUUUCUACAAGAACCAAAAUCAAUCCUACAAGCAUCAGAUAUAUCAGAGGAAGCAUGGUUCCCAAGUGCAUUGCUUAAUAUUCAUGAAUGUUGUCUACAACCAUGGCCUUCCCAAAACAAGACAACACAAUUAUUCUCUGGAGGGACAAGGGAUCUGAUGAUUAUCCAGUGAACUGUAUGUCUUUGAAGGAGCUUUGCACUCAACAGAUGUAUACAUCUUUAAUCAAACUAAGAGUGGGAGAUAUGCAUAAACAUUUUUUGGGAUACAUAACCACUCUUCGAACCUUA
Long non-coding RNA from Triticum dicoccoides, 3212 nucleotides. RefSeq lists it as uncharacterized. The transcript is spliced from 10 exons. The record is from RefSeq and is a predicted model, not a curated record. Lineage: Eukaryota; Viridiplantae; Streptophyta; Magnoliopsida; Poales; Poaceae.